ACAAGGAAGUUUUGGGCCGAAGCC
Molecule: non-coding RNA, 24 nt
Filed under: Arabidopsis thaliana (thale cress)
Lineage: Eukaryota; Viridiplantae; Streptophyta; Magnoliopsida; Brassicales; Brassicaceae
Source: RNAcentral